RNAcentral lists this ribosomal RNA (505 nucleotides) under uncultured bacterium. RNAcentral's name for it is "partial 16S ribosomal RNA". It matches the Rfam family "Bacterial small subunit ribosomal RNA", at positions 28 to 507 of the family's 1533-position model. The record is from RNAcentral.
GACGAACGCUGGCGGCGUGCCUAAUACAUGCAAGUCGAACGCACAGUUUAUACCGUAGCUUGCUACACCAUAGACUGUGAGUUGCGAACGGGUGAGUAACGCGUAGGUAACCUGCCUGGUAGCGGGGGAUAACUAUUGGAAACGAUAGCUAAUACCGCAUAAUAUUAAUUAUUGCAUGAUAAUUAAUUGAAAGGUGCAAUUGCACCACUACCAGAUGGACCUGCGUUGUAUUAGCUAGUAGGUGAGGUAACGGCUCACCUAGGCGACGAUACAUAGCCGACCUGAGAGGGUGAUCGGCCACACUGGGACUGAGACACGGCCCAGACUCCUACGGGAGGCAGCAGUAGGGAAUCUUCGGCAAUGGACGAAAGUCUGACCGAGCAACGCCGCGGGAGUGAAGAAGGGUUUCGGAUCGUAAAGCUCUGUUGUAAGAGAAGAAAGGGUGUGAGAGUGGAAAGUUCACACUGUGACGGUAUCUUACCAGAAAGGGACGGCUAACUACGUG